Mustela erminea (ermine) is the source of this 224-nucleotide long non-coding RNA. RefSeq lists it as uncharacterized. Lineage: Eukaryota; Metazoa; Chordata; Mammalia; Carnivora; Mustelidae. The record is from RefSeq and is a predicted model, not a curated record. The transcript is spliced from 3 exons.
UGCUCAACAUCACAUAUCAUCAGAGAAAUACAAAUCAAAACUACAAUGAGAUAGCACCUCACACAUGUCGGAAUGCCUAAAAUCAACCAUACAAAAAACAACAGCCAUUGAUGAGAACGUGGAGAAAGGGGAACCUUCUUGCAUUGUUGGUGGGAGUGCAAACUGGUGCAGCCAAUCUGGAGAAGAGUAUGGACAUUCCUCAUAAACUUUAAAAAGGGAAAUAC